RNAcentral lists this long non-coding RNA (697 nucleotides) under Marmota monax (woodchuck). Lineage: Eukaryota; Metazoa; Chordata; Mammalia; Rodentia; Sciuridae. The record is from RNAcentral.
CUGUGGCACACUGGGUUUUAACUUCAGUUGACAGCCACCAAUUGUGUAUCUCGAAAUAGCUCGAGAGAGGAUCUGAAUAUUCCUAACACAAAGAAAGAAAUGAUAAACGUUUGAGGUGAUAGAUAUGCCAUUUACCGUGAUCCGAUCCUCACACACCAUCACUCGAUACCCCAUACAUACGUGCAAUUACCGUGUCAAUGAAAAAAUCAAGAAUUUUGAAAGUCUAAGAAAAACCAAGAAAUCAUCUGCCUUUGUAGACCAAGAAAUUUAAGCUGGACCCCACUGGCCAAAGAAAUUGUCCAAACGUGGAUCUUUCUACCAAGGCUUCUAUUUUGUUCAAGGCGACAUUGGAUGACCAGUUACCAAAAGAGGAAAUGAGCAUGAGUGUCACCUAGGAAGGUAGAAAUGGAGCACCCCAGUACUGGGCACUGCAGGAGUCGUGACAGUAGAGACAGGAGGGGGGCACCUGGGCCAUCUCCCACCCUAUUUCCUGAGCCAUGGGGAGAGCAGAAAUUAGGAGUCCACGCCCACAUUCCCGCCUCUGGGCUCUCCGCACAGACACAGAGCGUGUGGGAAUAGAUGGCCAGCUCCAUGGCUCUCCAGGCCCCAGGGCCCUUUCUUACCUCACAUGACCUUUUUCUUCCUUUUCAUCGGCUCUUACCCAGGACUUGGACCCUGUGGCUAUCUUGCUUGGCAC